Molecule: ribosomal RNA, 796 nt
Filed under: Aeromicrobium sp. IMCC1746
Lineage: Bacteria; Bacillati; Actinomycetota; Actinomycetes; Propionibacteriales; Nocardioidaceae
Description: bacterial SSU rRNA
Rfam family: Bacterial small subunit ribosomal RNA
Source: RNAcentral
UGCAAGUCGAGCGGUAAGGCUCCUUCGGGAGUACACGAGCGGCGAACGGGUGAGUAACACGUGAGCAACCUGCCCUUCUCAUCGGAAUAAGCGUUGGAAACGACGUCUAAUGCCGAAUAUGACCUCCUUUCGCAUGAUCGGAGGUGGAAAGCUCCGGCGGAGAAGGAUGGGCUCGCGGCCUAUCAGCUUGUUGGUGGGGUAACGGCCCACCAAGGCGACGACGGGUAGCCGGCCUGAGAGGGUGACCGGCCACACUGGGACUGAGACACGGCCCAGACUCCUACGGGAGGCAGCAGUGGGGAAUAUUGGACAAUGGGCGAAAGCCUGAUCCAGCAACGCCGCGUGAGGGAUGACGGCCUUCGGGUUGUAAACCUCUUUCAGCAGGGACGAAGCGAAAGUGACGGUACCUGCAGAAGAAGGACCGGCCAACUACGUGCCAGCAGCCGCGGUAAUACGUAGGGUCCGAGCGUUGUCCGGAAUUAUUGGGCGUAAAGGGCUCGUAGGCGGUUUGUCGCGUCGGGAGUGAAAACUCAGGGCUCAACCCUGAGCGUGCUUCCGAUACGGGCAGACUAGAGGUAUGCAGGGGAGAACGGAAUUCCUGGUGUAGCGGUGGAAUGCGCAGAUAUCANGAGGAACACCGGUGGCGAAGGCGGUUCUCUGGGCAUACCUGACGCUGAGGAGCGAAAGCAUGGGGAGCGAACAGGAUUAGAUACCCUGGUAGUCCAUGCCGUAAACGUUGGGCGCUAGGUGUGGGGACCUUCCACGGUCUCCGUGCCGCAGCUAACGCAUUAAGCGC